Molecule: ribosomal RNA, 433 nt
Filed under: uncultured bacterium
Lineage: Bacteria
Description: partial 16S ribosomal RNA
Rfam family: Bacterial small subunit ribosomal RNA
Source: RNAcentral
AACGAACGCUGGCGGCAUGCCUAACACAUGCAAGUCGAACGAGACCUUCGGGUCUAGUGGCGCACGGGUGCGUAACGCGUGGGAACCUGCCCUUAGGUUCGGAAUAACUCCCCGAAAGGGGUGCUAAUACCGGAUAAUGUCUUCGGACCAAAGAUUUAUCGCCUUUGGAUGGGCCCGCGUUGGAUUAGCUAGUUGGUAGGGUAAAAGCCUACCAAGGCGACGAUCCAUAGCUGGUCUGAGAGGAUGAUCAGCCACACUGGGACUGAGACACGGCCCAGACUCUUACGGGAGGCAGCAGUGGGGAAUAUUGGACAAUGGGCGAAAGCCUGAUCCAGCAAUGCCGCGUGAGUUAUGAAGGCCUUAGGGUUGUAAAGCUCUUUUAACCGGGAUGAUAAUGACAGUACCGGGAGAAUAAGCUACGGCUAACUACGUG